Molecule: long non-coding RNA, 657 nt
Filed under: Pongo abelii (Sumatran orangutan)
Lineage: Eukaryota; Metazoa; Chordata; Mammalia; Primates; Hominidae
Description: lincRNA
Source: RNAcentral
CAUCUUCUUGGUACUACACAUGAAGAUGUCCUGCUCUCCCCUGCUCAAGGAGAGAGUGCCUGACCUGAGCUGGGCCCAUCAGAUCCAGUACUUACCCGGAAUAGGAAAAAGAUGGGGAGGGUGACCAAAGAUUACAAAAAUCUCUGAAGCUUAUCCACUUGAGAGAGAGUCCCUGAAGAUACUGGCCUUUCAUUCCCGCUAUGUAUAUCCAAUGUGACUGAACUCUGAAUAACAUAUACAAGUUAUAAUAAUGUAGUAGUUAGCCCUCAAACUAGGACACAAACAUGUUAGAGGGAUUUGAGUUUGAUGUGAUGCAUGCAAUGUGGUCCCACUGUGUGACUACAGAAAUGUUGGCAAAAGUAAGUUCAGAGGAAAUGGUAGGCAAGUACUUCCCAGUUUUGGCCAGAAGAUGCAGAAAAAAAGAAUUCUCAUAAAAUAAUAAAAGAUUUCCUUUUUAUCACUGGUUUUGGGUGGAUUUGAUUAAGGUGUUCCUUGGUGAAGUUUUCUGCAUGUUUCUUGUUCUUAGGAUAAUCAUAUUUCUGUAAUAUUUGAAGUUGAUGGUUUCCAUGGAGUUUCUAAAUCUUUCAUCCAGUAUGUUUUAAAUAUCUUUGUCUCUCUUCUCCACUACCUGCCCUUCAGGGAUUCCAUUUAGCCCUA